Molecule: ribosomal RNA, 258 nt
Filed under: uncultured bacterium
Lineage: Bacteria
Description: partial 16S ribosomal RNA
Rfam family: Bacterial small subunit ribosomal RNA
Source: RNAcentral
UGGCGGACGGGUGAGUAACGCGUGGGUAACCUGCCUCAUACAGGGGGAUAACAGUUAGAAAUGACUGCUAAAACCGCAUAAGCGCACAAAACCGCAUGGUUUGGUGUGAAAAACUCCGGUGGUAUGAGAUGGACCCGCGUCUGAUUAGCUAGUUGGAGAGGUAACGGCUCACCAAGGCGACGAUCAGUAGCCGACCUGAGAGGGUGACCGGCCACAUUGGGACUGAGACACGGCCCAAACUCCUACGGGAGGCAGCAG